CCAAGGAGUCUAACAUGUGCGCGAGUCACUGGGAUCUACGAAACCUAAGGGCGCAAUGAAGGUGAAGGCUCUCSUAGGAGUGCCGAGGUGGGAAGCCGUCCCUCCGGGGCGGCGGCACCACCGGCCCGUUCYGAUCGCUCGUCGAUGGGGCGGAGCAAGAGCGUACACGUUGGGACCCGAAAGGCGGUGAGCUAUGCGUGAGCAGGACGAAGUCGGGGGAAACUCUGAUGGAAGUCCGUAGCGAAUCUGACGUGCAAAUCGAUCGUCAAACUUGCGUAUAGGGGCGAAAGACUAAUCGAACCGUCUA
RNAcentral lists this ribosomal RNA (307 nucleotides) under Owenia fusiformis. RNAcentral describes it as "eukaryotic LSU rRNA". It matches the Rfam family "Eukaryotic large subunit ribosomal RNA", at positions 666 to 946 of the family's 3401-position model. Lineage: Eukaryota; Metazoa; Annelida; Polychaeta; Sabellida; Oweniidae. The record is from RNAcentral.